CUUGUUCACAGGUUAAAGCACAAUUCUGGUAAGGCCCUCAUGUAUUUAAUGGUCCAGUAGAAGAUGGGAUACGUGAAAAUGUGAACAUGUUGCUGGUUAUACAGAAGCCAUCAAGCUGAAUGAGUGGAGAGUGCUAAGAUCUUAGCAUCAUCUUUCAUUUUGCCACAGAAAGGAAUGAAGGGGCAUCAUUAAACUGGCUGUUGUAGAGCAUUCUGCCAUUGAAUCGAGUGAACCGGGCUUGGCUCACACUGGAUAUUU
Long non-coding RNA from Chinchilla lanigera (long-tailed chinchilla), 258 nucleotides. RefSeq lists it as uncharacterized. The record is from RefSeq and is a predicted model, not a curated record. The transcript has 3 exons. Lineage: Eukaryota; Metazoa; Chordata; Mammalia; Rodentia; Chinchillidae.